Molecule: ribosomal RNA, 731 nt
Filed under: uncultured Lachnospiraceae bacterium
Lineage: Bacteria; Bacillati; Bacillota; Clostridia; Lachnospirales; Lachnospiraceae
Description: bacterial SSU rRNA
Rfam family: Bacterial small subunit ribosomal RNA
Source: RNAcentral
GACGAACGCUGGCGGCGCGCCUAACACAUGCAAGUCGAACGAGCGAGAGAGAGCUUGCUUUCUCGAGCGAGUGGCGAACGGGUGAGUAACGCGUGAGGAACCUGCCUCAAAGAGGGGGACAACAGUUGGAAACGACUGCUAAUACCGCAUAAGCCCACGGCUCGGCAUCGAGCAGAGGGAAAAGGAGCAAUCCGCUUUGAGAUGGCCUCGCGUCCGAUUAGCUAGUUGGUGAGGUAACGGCCCACCAAGGCAACGAUCGGUAGCCGGACUGAGAGGUUGAACGGCCACAUUGGGACUGAGACACGGCCCAGACUCCUACGGGAGGCAGCAGUGGGGAAUAUUGCACAAUGGGGGAAACCCUGAUGCAGCGACGCCGCGUGGAGGAAGAAGGUCUUCGGAUUGUAAACUCCUGUUGUUGGGGAAGAUAAUGACGGUACCCAACAAGGAAGUGACGGCUAACUACGUGCCAGCAGCCGCGGUAAAACGUAGGUCACAAGCGUUGUCCGGAAUUACUGGGUGUAAAGGGAGCGCAGGCGGGAAGACAAGUUGGAAGUGAAAUCUAUGGGCUCAACCCAUAAACUGCUUUCAAAACUGUUUUUCUUGAGUAGUGCAGAGGUAGGCGGAAUUCCCGGUGUAGCGGUGGAAUGCGUAGAUAUCGGGAGGAACACCAGUGGCGAAGGCGGCCUACUGGGCACCAACUGACGCUGAGGCUCGAAAGUGUGGGUAGCAAA